RNAcentral lists this ribosomal RNA (440 nucleotides) under uncultured bacterium. RNAcentral describes it as "partial 16S ribosomal RNA". It matches the Rfam family "Bacterial small subunit ribosomal RNA", at positions 338 to 795 of the family's 1533-position model. The record is from RNAcentral.
CCUACGGGGGGCAGCAGUGGGGGAUAUUGCACAAUGGGGGAAACCCUGAUGCAGCGACGCCGCGUGUGUGAAGAAGUAUUUCGGUAUGUAAAGCUCUAUCAGCCGGGAAGAAAAUGACAGUACCUGACCAAGAAGCCCCGGCUAACUACGUGCCAGCAGCCGCGGUAAUACGUAGGGGGAAAGCGUUAACCGGAUUUACUGGGUGUAAAGGGAGCGUAGACGGUUAUGUAAGUCUGAGGUGAAAGCCCGGGGCCCAACCCCGGGACUGCUUUGGAAACUGUGUAACUGGAGUACAGGAGGGGCAGGUGGAAUUCCAGGUGUAGCGGUGAAAUGCGUAGAGAUGAGGAGGAACACCUGCGGCGAAGGCGGCCUGCUGGACAGAGACUGACGUUGAGGCGCGAAAGCGUGGGGAGCAAACAGGAUUAGAUACCCGUGUAGUC